CCUACGCCACCACCCACCCCCAAGAAAAGCACCCUUUUAUCCCAACCCCCCCCCCUCCCCAACAAAGAAUGAUUGAUGGCAAUAAAUUAUCAGGCAGCAGCAGCAGCAGCAGCAGCCAGUGUAGGCAGCAGGUCUUCCUAGCUCUCAGGAGCCCUGGGUUCGCCUUGGAGUCUUUUUUUUUUUUCUGGCGGUGGGUAGUCCCGGAUUUCAGUGACUUGUCUGCCUCAGGGGACAGAGGGGCGACCUCCUGGUCAGUUUAAGGGCUGCGGAGGGGUCCGCCCACCUGACUGAUAGAGAAGACUAGUAGGAUGGUAAGUGACAAAGAUGGCUAAUCGCAGUAGUAAAGAAAAAAGGAGCACCCCUCCUUCUUUCCCGAUUCAGCAUCUGCUCUCCUCCCUCAAAUUGAGUGUAUACUGGGGGAGGGAAGGUACUUGAUCGUGACACCCAAAGCAGAAGCUCUGAGAAAUAAAGAGUGCUCCUUUUGGAGGAAGGGACUGCUAGAAAGCCUUAGGGGGCACCGAUUGCUCCAGAAAGUUUUAACGGUGCAUCCAUAUUUAUGGCUGUUCCCCCCAUCCCCCGCCCCUUCCUCCUCUCUCAGUUCACCUCAACAGAAAUCCCAGAGAAGACGCAAGUCGAGUGCGGAUCACCCCCCGCAGGUCCUCACGCCUCAGACCCAAGCAGCAGCAGAGGAGGCGGCAGCAGUAGCAGAAGGAGCAGCAAUACAGAGGUGAAGAAAAUUGGAGAAGAUUCAAAACUAGACUUCAUGCUGGGUUCUCCAUCCAGACCUGUAACAAUAUUCUGAAGAGAGAGGAGUUACCUUUGAGAUCUUUUACAUCAGGAACUGGAAAAGCCAUUCAUCCAUUUUUUGUAGCUACCCUUACUAACUUUGUGCCAGGAACAAAUCUGCGAAGCAUGCCAUUUAUGACUUCAUCCAAGUCAUUGACAAAAAUGCUCAACACCAAAGCCCCAAAGACAUAUCAUUCAAGGCAUGCCAUAAGAGACCUUCCUAAAAGUCAACCACAAUCCAUUUAUGACUAUUUGAGUCCAUUCAUUAAAUGUGCUCUGAAUUUGCCUCCUAUUGUCUAAUCUAUACCUCUCUAUCAUCUUCAAAAGGAUAGAAAGGAAGAUUUUGUUGAAUUCUAAUUAUAAUCUAGGUAUAAUGACUCUAUGGUAUUUUUCUCUCCACUCUACUAGUCUAAUCUGGCAUGAUCUGUUCUGGAGGCAUUUAGGUGGCUCAGUGCUGGGUUUAGUUAGGAAGACCUGAUUUCAAAUCCUACCUCAGGCAUUUACUAUUUGUAUAAUCUGGGGGAAGUUACUUAACCUUGAUCUGCCUCCAUUUCCUAUGAGGAUAAUAAUAGUACCUACCUCCUAGGGGUUUUGCAAGGAUUAAAUAGUAUUUUUAAAGUAAUUAGCACAGUACUUGGCACUUAAAUACUUAUUUCCUUCCUUUCUUGUUGGCUCAUUG
This 1465-nucleotide long non-coding RNA is filed under the name Monodelphis domestica (gray short-tailed opossum). RNAcentral describes it as "lncRNA (ENSMODG00000037528.1)". The record is from RNAcentral. Lineage: Eukaryota; Metazoa; Chordata; Mammalia; Didelphimorphia; Didelphidae.